Long non-coding RNA from Lathyrus oleraceus (garden pea), 657 nucleotides. RefSeq lists it as uncharacterized. The record is from RefSeq and is a predicted model, not a curated record. Lineage: Eukaryota; Viridiplantae; Streptophyta; Magnoliopsida; Fabales; Fabaceae. The transcript is spliced from 3 exons.
UCCAAAAUUUCUGCGAAAAGUCGAAAAGCACGAUUGAAACGCACACGGAGCUGAAACGCCUAUUCAAACAAGCUCCGAGCCAACAUCGCGACUCCUCCGCUUUCAGCAUCGCGUUCAACGUUCCCGCAUUCGUGAAUUCAGUCGCGUUUUCCAUGUCUUCUUUAACUCUCUCAGGCGAUUAACCGUGAAUCACAGUGUUAGGAUUAGUUUGGGUGAAAGGAUUUUGGACUAUGUGUUAUGAGCUGCAAGGGUGUUAUUGUCAUUUGUUGUAUGCGUGAGAGGAGGUUGAUGUGAAAUUGCAGGCGGAAGUUUGUGUAAAUAAUACGCAGGGUCCUGUUUAUGCCUGCAGAACCAUGGUCUUGUGAUACCUUGGUGAGGACAACAUGGUGUGCUUACUUUUUGCUAACUUCCAAAUGGUUUCCAAAGGGUUUUGUUUUAGGAAGUAGAUGUGAUGUAUGUAGAAUAUUAAAUGUAAUUUGGAAUUUAUAAUGUAUGGAAAUGUUGAAAUUUCAUGGAAUGUGCAAUUGAAUUUGGUAUAGUGGAAAGUGUUCAUUGUAUUUGUGAUUGAAAUUUGUUUGAACUUGUAAUUUUGUAAAUAAGGAUUGGUUUGUAAUGUGGGUGAAUAUUGUAAUGGAUUGAAUACUUAUUGAAUGGUUA